Physeter macrocephalus (sperm whale) is the source of this 3196-nucleotide long non-coding RNA. RefSeq lists it as uncharacterized. The transcript has 4 exons. NCBI's taxonomy places the organism in Eukaryota, Metazoa, Chordata, Mammalia, Artiodactyla, Physeteridae. The record is from RefSeq and is a predicted model, not a curated record.
UACCGGGGCGCGAACCCGGUUCCCCUGCAUCGGCAGGCGGACGCGCAACCACUGCGCCACCAGGGAAGCCCAAUUAAUGUAAUUAUUUUAAUGCAUGCACAGGAUAAAGAAAAUUCCCAUUCCACAGAUGGGUAUAAAUGAAAUUCUCCCUUCCACACCUGACCUUCAGUUCUCCCCACAGGCAAUUACUAGAGGUUUUUGUGUAUCCUUUCAGAGAUAUUUUAAACCUAUGCAAAUAUAUAUAAAAUAGUAGCACACCAUACACACUGUUCUGCAGUGGAGGAUGUUUUAAAAAUACAAUUUUAAGGGCCUCAACCCUCAACCACCCAAUCAGAAUUUUCGAGGUUGGGCCCAGGAAUCUGUUUUUACCAAGCUCGCCAGAGACUGUGAACACAUGCAGGGGGUUGGUAGGGAUGGGGCUGGUCCAGUCUGUGGCUUCCCGGCCACUCCUGAGUACCCAGGCCCCCUGCCUUCAGCUUGGUUGGCCUCCUGGGGUCUUAGAGCUGGGGACUCAUAAACUCCUUGGCCCUCAGUUUUCCUCCUCAGACACUCUUCUAUGCUCAGACCACUUCCUGCUUCUCCAGGGAUCCGGCCCCCAGGGAUCCUGACCACUGUGGCCCGCUAGGCCCAAACCUCCUCAAGGCCAAGCCUGGCCCUGCCUGUUGGCUUCUCCCGGGGCAUUCCCAAGGGUCAGCAUCUGGGAGUCUAGCUCUCUAGAACCCAGUGGAAUUCUCAGCUUGACUCUGUUGCUACCCAAUGACUGAGAGACCAACUCACAAAAGGCUGAUUAACAAAUCAGAACGUUAAUGUGUUUCGAAAAUAUCUACCCUUCAUUGAGUCCCUACUGUGUGCCAGGUACUGGGUUAGGCAUUUCUUACAAUAUCUCCUCGGGGUAGAUCUUAUUAAACACCAUUGUAUUGUAUUGUAUUGUAUUGAUUUUAUUUUACUUUUAAAGCUUUUUUUUGGCUGCACAGCAUGCAGGAUCUUAGUUUCCUGACCAGGGAUCGAACCCGCACCCCCUGCAGUAGAAGCACAGAGUCUUAACCACUAGACUGCCAGGGAAGUCCCUUAAACCCCAUUUUACAGAUAAGCAAGGAAACUGAAGCUUAGAGAAGAAUUUACGGACUGAUGAGUGGGGGAGACAGUCUGACUCUAAAAUCCUUACUCUUUCCUCUAUCCCACACUGCUACGCAGUCCAAAACCUGUCAGUCAUUACAGGAAGCGGGCUUUGCCAGGAGGAGGAACAAGUAUGUUUGCAUCCGGGACACCUCUUCCUGUUAGCAAGAUCCCUGCGAACUAAAUUAUAAUCUGAAGAUGAGCACAGAACGCAAGUCAAGGGGAUGGAGAACUGGAGGCACUGCCCACAAAGCUAUGACCACACUAACCUUGACCCAGAACAGAACUCUGCUCUCUAGCGACCUAAUGUUGACAUCUCCACAGCACAGUGGACCCUCUCCUUGCAGAAUGCCGCAGCCCACAGAUACCAUUACAAAUCGAUGGGGUGUGAGCCAGAGGAGACCUGGAGCAGCCACACAGCCUUCCCGGGGUGCUGAAGGACAGACCACACUGAUUGAGCUCUCGGCUGGGUCUUUAAACGUCAGCGUGGGCGUGACCACCUCAGACCUUGGGCGCGGAAAUAAAAUGCAGAAGGGAGGGGCCUUCUAACGUGUGGGAGGAGAGGAGCUGUUCACUCAGACCAGCCUGGCCGCCUGAGCACGGCUCAUCAUCACAGAGGCGUGGAGAAGAGCGCAGACAGCUCACCCUCCCUCCCACCCCCCAGAAUUCACCCAGACCCCCUCCUGUCACCAGGCCCCACUACAUGGGCCUCUGGGCCUGCCCGGCUCAAUCAUUCACCGUUCUAGGAGCUGGGAGGACAGACACACACGUGACAGAGAAGGUCCGACCUACUCUCAUGCAGCCUCAAAGGGGAGACUGAUAGGACGAGGAAGGAAAGAGAAAGAGACCCAAGAUCAGUUUCAGAUGUGCUGUGUGAGUUUUCUGAAUACCUGUCUCUUUCCUUACAUCGCAAAGUCUGUGGAGAGCGGAAAUUUAAACGUUGCCUCUGCUGUGUCCUGGUUGUGAGGCUUUUGGCCAGACGUUUAAACUUUCCAGAUCUCAGCUUCCUUUGAGUCCCACAGAAGCAGAUCCUGAAACCAGGAUUCAAUAUAAGAAGUGUAUCAGGAGGUGAUGCCAGAAUUUUCCAGGGGACAAAUGGGGAAGUGAGACAGGGAAAGGAAGGAACCCCAAGUAGGGUACAUUGUUAAGCAAGUUACAACACUGGGCACUGGAGUUCAGCCCUGCUGGGCAACUCUGGGACACAUGUAGACUGUAGGUUCACAACUUGGCUGAACACUGCAAUCACCUGGGAGCUUUAAAAAAUACAUAUGGGGACUUCCCUGGUGGCACAGUUGUUAAGAAUCCGCCUGCCAAUUCAGGGGAUACAAGUUCGAGCCCUGGCCCAGGAAGAUCUCACAGGCCGUGGAGCAACUAAGCCCAUACGCCACAACUACUGAGCCUGCGCUUUACAGCCACAACUACUGAGCCCGUGUGUCACAACUACUGAAGCCCGCACGCCUACAGCCCGUGCUCCGCAACAAGAGACGCCACUGCAAUGAGAAGCCCACGCACCGCAAUGAAGAGUAGCCUCCAUUCACUGCAGCUAGAGAAAGCCCAGGUGCAGCAGCGAAGACCCAACACAGCCAAAAAUAAAAACAAAUAAAUAAAUAAAUUUACUUUAAAAAAAUACAUGUGCCUGAGUCCCCUCCCCCAACAGAGACACGGAUUUAAUUGGCCUGGGAUGUGGCCUGGGCAUCAAAAUUUUUUUAUAUCCCGCAGAUGAUCUAAUGUACAGCGAAGUUUGAGUUACUGGUAUAGAAUACACCCCAGAGCUGUUCCAGCCAAGAGGUGAAAACACUAGGGUGUUUACCCACUGUCUUCAUCCAUCUUUGCGAGAAGAUGCUCCCUUGGCCGGAAAAAAAAAAAAAUGCUCAGGUCUCUUAAGCAGAAAAAGCAAACAAACAAAAAAUCUCCCCCAAAUUCCCCAAACCAAACUCACAGAUGUUUAUAAUAAGCAGCCCUGGUUGUCUGAAGGUGAAAUUGAACACUGUGUUGACAGCAUCCAUACAGACUUCAUCUCUAAAAUGGGGAUAAAAAAUUUGUGGAUCCUUGUGAGGAUUAGUAAAUGUUGUUAAGUGCC